CAACAGCUGCCACUAUCGCGCCACCUAAAAUCAAACAAAAAUGCCUCAAAAUCAAAAGAUACAGGAAAAACUGCUGAAAAAAAAAGGUGCUUGAAGAUGCAACAAAAUUCUGCUAAUGAAAUGUGAACAUUUAAGCACAUUACACAAUGCAUGACUGAGAUGAAGUUAUGAGACAAGAAAGGCUGGAAAAAAUUUUUUUGAAAAAAAAAAAAAAGGUUUCAUGCUGCCAACAUUCUUCUUUCUAAAGUGUGGCAAAAGUGGCUAUGCUGAAGUAUGAGAAGUAGUGAAUAACAGUGCAUAUACCCUAAGUUUCCCUGCACAAUUAUUGCAUUUCAUUAUUGGAUCCCCUCUUCUACCCACCUCAAACAACAACACCCGCUCCCUCUCUCCCUGCCACCUCCUCAUUGUUCCUUUAAAUGGGGCAGAGCAUAUAACAUUGUUCAAAUAGUGAAUUCCAAUGCUAAUAUUAGUGUAAAAUUUUGAAGACUUAGCGAGACAUUAAUAUUUGUUUUUCCCAUAAAAGUUAGCAAGAUAAUAGGCGCUCCAUUUCUUUCACUGAAAAUAUUUUUUGGUCAAACGAAAACCAAGUCAAUUCUAAGGAAAAUGACUAUUCUGGACCUUUAAAAACUAAUAAGGCAUGUUUUCUAUAAGGAAACUCCAUGGUCAUAUAGCCAUUAGAAUACUGUCUGUCCCUGAUCAUCUCUGC
RNAcentral lists this unclassified non-coding RNA (706 nucleotides) under Hevea brasiliensis (rubber tree). The record is from RNAcentral. Lineage: Eukaryota; Viridiplantae; Streptophyta; Magnoliopsida; Malpighiales; Euphorbiaceae.